Non-coding RNA from Heteronotia binoei (common prickly gecko), 72 nucleotides. Lineage: Eukaryota; Metazoa; Chordata; Lepidosauria; Squamata; Gekkonidae. The record is from the annotation of a RefSeq genome assembly.
GGAGCUGUGGCUCAGUGGUAGAGUUUCUGCUUCGCAUGCAGAAGGUCCCAGGUUCAAUCCCUGGCAUCUCCA